Molecule: long non-coding RNA, 510 nt
Organism: Neopsephotus bourkii (Bourke's parrot)
Lineage: Eukaryota; Metazoa; Chordata; Aves; Psittaciformes; Psittacidae
Exons: 3
Source: RefSeq, a predicted model, not a curated record
UGCUCCAAGGACUGUACAGCUCCAGCUUGGACACAGCUCUGGCUCCUGAACAUCUACAUCUCCAGUUCAGUUUUGGCUAUAGCUCAUGUUGCUUUCUGCUCUGGGUUCAGGUCGAUCCUGCAGACAGUUCCAGCUCAUUUGCAGCUUCAGGCCCAGCCCCUGGAUGGCUCCGGUUCCAUUGUGGCUGCAGCUCAUGUCCAUUUCUAGCUCUGUUUGCUGUUUCAGGUGCAGCCCCAGUCAGUUACAGCUUGUGCUUGUUGAACUGAGGCUGGCUUGUGGCCAGGUCAGGAAUCACUCACUGUCACAACACGUAGAUGAAUAUAACCUGUCAUAAUUGUUCACCAUCCAGCUCUGGGCUAACAAACACCCAGGACUCCUGUGGUUGUACAUGCCUUGAGUAAAUAAAAAGUUGAAGCCCAAACAAAGUGUGAAAAGCACCUUUUGCCUAUCUCAGAUGUUUAAUGCAGCCUGGUGCAUGCCGGCAUCCCAGCAUUUGGGGACCAAUGCGAC